UACAGAGGGGGCAAGCGUUAUUCGGAAUUAUUGGGCGUAAAGGGCGCGUAGGCGGCCUGGCAAGUGGAAGGUGAAAUCCCUCGGCUUAACCGAGGAACUGCCCUCCAAACUGCUUGGCUUGAGACCGGGAGAGGUGAGUGGAAUUCCCAGUGUAGCGGUGAAAUGCGUAGAUAUUGGGAGGAACACCAGUGGCGAAGGCGGCUCGCUGGACCGGUACUGACGCUGAGGCGCGAAAGCGUGGGGAGCAAACGGG
RNAcentral lists this ribosomal RNA (253 nucleotides) under uncultured bacterium. RNAcentral describes it as "partial 16S ribosomal RNA". It matches the Rfam family "Bacterial small subunit ribosomal RNA", at positions 524 to 776 of the family's 1533-position model. The record is from RNAcentral.